Cyprinodon tularosa is the source of this 822-nucleotide long non-coding RNA. RefSeq lists it as uncharacterized. The transcript is spliced from 4 exons. The record is from RefSeq and is a predicted model, not a curated record. Lineage: Eukaryota; Metazoa; Chordata; Actinopteri; Cyprinodontiformes; Cyprinodontidae.
AUGUAUGUUCAGACACUGUGGACGUCCAAAAGCAGAAGUCCUGUGAGGAACCGGGACAUCCAGGAUGAUGAGGAGCUUCCCAGUCUCUACCUGAGGACGGCACAGAGAAAGACUGGAACAGAAAACACACGGAGGAAAGCAGGUUGAACAUGGAAGCAGUGUUCUAGCAGUCGGAUCACAUUGGAAAAGAAUCCAUCCACAUGUGUUUGGAGGAGCUGAAGAAGAGGAUGGAGCACACAGACCGCUAAGGAGAAGAAACAUGGCUCCUCUAUUUGUCUCUCCAACGUUCUGGAGUCUGAAAAACGUUGACGACCCCGCAGCUAAACCAUCAGUCUGCUCCACCCAGUAGAAGAAGAUGAGGUCAUCUGCUCCUUGGACCGGCGCCUCUGUGUCUGUCGGACGUCUGCUGUCCUGUUAAAGAACCGCUCAGUCGCAGUAGAUGGGCGCCGACAUGGAACCGGGGUCUGCUGGAGGUUCCUUCCUGCUUAAAGCUGGUUUUCCUCUCCACUGUCUCCUCAUUGCUCAGGAGGAGGCACUGCAGCAAAAUUAACGACUGUCUGUGAUUGGCUGAGCUUCCUUGGGUUGAAGACAUUUCUCUGAAUGCCACGAUAAACUGAAUUUAUCUUCACCAUGUUGUAAAUAGGAUCUAAUUGGAUAUUUGUGUUUAGAUUUGGUUCUGUGUUUGUGUUGACUUCUGUUACAUGUUUCUGUAUUAAAAUUGUCAUGUUAAUUGCCUUUAGAUGACAUUUUCUGUGACUUGUUUCUAUUUUAAGACUGAUUUAUAUUAAAUCCCCUUACUGCACAGGUGUCAAAGUCGUUCCA